Molecule: ribosomal RNA, 161 nt
Filed under: uncultured bacterium
Lineage: Bacteria
Description: partial 16S rRNA
Rfam family: Bacterial small subunit ribosomal RNA
Source: RNAcentral
GGAAUCUUCCACAAUGGACGCAAGUCUGAUGGAGCAACGCCGCGUGAGUGAAGAAGGGUUUCAGCUCGUAAAGCUCUGUUGUUAAAGAAGAACGUGGGUAAGAGUAACUGUUUACCCAGUGACGGUAUUUAACCAGAAAGCCACGGCUAACUACGUGCCCG